CCUACGGGUGGCAGCAGUGAGGAAUAUUGCUCAAUGGACGAGAGUCUGAACCAGCCACGCAGCGUGAAGGAUGACUGCCCUAUGGGUUGUAAACUUCUUUUAUAAAGGAAUAAAACGAGGCACGUGUGCCUUUUUGCAUGUACUUUAUGAAUAAGGAUCGGCUAACUCCGUUACAGCAGCCGCGGUAAUACGGAGUAUCCGAGCGUUAUCCGGAUUUAUUGGGUUUAAAGGGAGCGUAGAUGGGUUGUUAAGUCAGUUGUGAAAGUUUGGGGCUCAACCGUAAAAUUGCAAUUGAUACUGGCAGUCUUGAGUACAGGUGAGGUAGGCGGAAUUCGUGGUGUAGCGGUGAAAUGCGUAGAUAUCACGAAGAACCCCGAUUGCGAAGGCAGCUUACUAAACUGUGACUGACAUUGAUGCGCGAAAGUGUGGGUAGCAAACAGGAUUAGAUACCCUUGUAGUC
This 460-nucleotide ribosomal RNA is filed under the name uncultured bacterium. RNAcentral's name for it is "partial 16S ribosomal RNA". It matches the Rfam family "Bacterial small subunit ribosomal RNA", at positions 338 to 795 of the family's 1533-position model. The record is from RNAcentral.